UAUAUUAAUAUUCAUUAUUACUACUAUUAUUUUAUGCAUUUCUAUUUUGCUCAAAAAUUAUUAAUAGCAAGUCAAACAAAAUACCUUUUACUAUGUAACAUGGAAGGCUCUUCAACUUUUAGAACAAUGAAACUUUUAGAGUUCACAGUUAAUAAGCAAUUUGCAGAUGUACUAAUUUCUGUGCCAGUAAGUAGAAAAUUAAGGAAAUAAACCUUUUUUAUUGUGUCAAAUUGAUCCCUUUAUAUUUACUUCCUAUCUCAGUUAUACCUCUUUUGUGAUUUAGAGAUAUCAAAAUCUCCUAAUAAAUGACAGCAUACAUCAUUUUUGUGUUUUCUUUGUCCAUAAAUAUAUAAGUAAUUGUGAAAUCAUGAAAUUACAGUAAUUAUAAAUGCAAAAGAACUUUCUCCAUAGCAGUCUACCUGAUUAGAAUAAGCCUGGUAUUUGUUUGAUCUUUUGAGUGUGAUUUGAUUUUAGCAAAACACUACCACAUCAAAUUUGUGAGAAAAAAAUUUUUUGUUUCUUUUUUUGGUGUUUAUAUAUAAAUGUAUUUUGGUUUUAUAAUUACAAAAUUUUCAUUUUUAUGUUUAUAUACACUUAUGCAACAUUGUAAUAAAAAGAAUUUCAGUGAACAUUUAGGAAUCAUGAUACUUUUUCUUUUAAAGAGGUCUACAUAUUAUUUGUGUUUGAUAAUUACUAUCACCUACAUCUUUAGCUUUUGUGCCAUUGGCUCUUUGUUUUUGGAUGAAGACCUGCAGCUAUAGAAUCUGUUUCCUACAAGAUUUGAAGUUUCUAUUUUCACUGGCUCAAAGCAUAAUUUAAAUAAUUUUGUUAGUGAUUUAUUUUCAAAGCCUUCUUAAAAUAAAGGAGCUAUUAUGGAGAAAUUCAUUCCUUCUACAUAUACUUAACACUUAUUUUCACAGCUUUGUUUAUUUUCACUAAUUACUUUUCACAGAUAAUCAAUAUGCGUUUCCAAGCCUUUCGGCUAUGUUUGGGUCUUCUGUUCAUCUCAAUUAAUGCAGAAUUUAUGGAUGAUGAUGUUGAGAUGGAAGACUUGGAAGAAAAUUCUAAAGAGAUUGAUGAUAAUGAAGGUGAACUUUCCACAGAGAUAAAAUAUAAGACACCUCAACCUAUAGGAGAAGUAUAUUUUGCAGAAACUUUUGAUAGUGGAAAGUUGGCUGGGUGAGUAUUCAUUUAAGAGAAUGUUUUCUUUGAUUUGUUAGCUUUUUUGAAGUUAUUAGGUUUUGGCCUAUGAAAAUUACCUCUACUACAGAUCUAUAUAAAUUUUAAAAUACUUUAAUUGACAUUGUAAAUCAGUACU
RNAcentral lists this long non-coding RNA (1318 nucleotides) under Aotus nancymaae (Ma's night monkey). RNAcentral's name for it is "lncRNA (ENSANAG00000039128.1)". The record is from RNAcentral. Lineage: Eukaryota; Metazoa; Chordata; Mammalia; Primates; Aotidae.